UACAGAGGGUGCGAACGUUGCUCGGAAUUACUGGGCGUAAAGCGCGUGUAGGCGGAGCGCUAAGUCGGGCGUGAAAUCCCCAGGCUCAACCUGGGAACUGCGCUCGAAACUGGCGUUCUCGAGUAUCGGAGAGGGUGGCGGAAUUCCUGGUGUAGAGGUGAAAUUCGUAGAUAUCAGGAGGAACACCGGUGGCGAAGGCGGCCACCUGGACGAUUACUGACGCUGAGACGCGAAAGCGUGGGGAGCAAAC
RNAcentral lists this ribosomal RNA (250 nucleotides) under uncultured bacterium. RNAcentral's name for it is "partial 16S ribosomal RNA". It matches the Rfam family "Bacterial small subunit ribosomal RNA", at positions 524 to 773 of the family's 1533-position model. The record is from RNAcentral.